AAGACAGGGUUGAGCCCAGCGUUGGGAGCGGAGGCGUCUGGAAAACGCGCCAGGGAAAUGAGCCAGGGGCAAGAAUCGAGGCGCUUCUCGGCCGUCGAAGGCAGCUUAGGACUGCUGAGAGACUGGAGACGGAGUCUGGCUAUGUCGCCCAGGCUGGAGUGCAGUGGCGCGAUCUCGGCUCACUGCAGCCUCCGCCUCCCGGGUUCAAGCGUUUCUCCUGCUUCAUCCUCCUGAGUAGCUGGGACUACAGGCGCGUGCCACCAAGCCUGGCUAAUUUUUGUAUUUUUAGUAGAGACAGGGUUUCACCAUUUUGGCCAGGAUGGUUUUGAUCUCUUGACCUCGUUAUCUGCCUGCCUAGACCUUCCAAAGUGCUGGAAUUACAGGCGUGAGCCACCGCGCCCGGCCACAACCAGUAUUUCUUGCAAAGCAUAAUACAACUUUAUGUAGUAUUAUGUUUUGAGUGGAAUAAAAAUUCACAAUUGUCAAAGAACCUUUUUGUCGCAUUUCAUUUUACAAUAUUAUUAAAGAAAUGAGGCAAGGAAGAGAUGUUUUAUUGGCACUUUCUAAUUGAUUAUGUCUUCCACUCUUUCUAAUGAAAGGGGUUAUUUUAACACAGCAACAUGAUGAAAGAAAGCCCUAGAGAUGAGUAGAAAUGAAUAGUGUUGAGCUUUUCCAUCCUUCCUGCUUUGCAGCCUGGGGAGUAAAUUUCAGUCCAAGUUACUUCAUUUUGCAGCAAGACAAUUUAAUGAAGUCCACUAGUAGUUUGCUGCUUCAUGAGGUUCUACUGUCAGCUUUGACUUUUGGUACAAUUAAGGAGCCACAAAGUCCCUGGAGUAGAUUAUGAAACUUCUUACCCUUACUCUUAUAAUGUCAGGCUUGAGGAUUUAAACCAGUUUCCCUGUUUCCUUGCACGGUGUUAAUAUACUUGGUUUGCCUCCAAUCAAGUUUUUUUUUUUUCCUUUUUAAAAUCCUCCUUCCCUUAGUGGGAAUAGAUGUUUAAAAUUCAGUGUUCUUGCUUGAUGACUUGUGAUGUAUAUAAAAAAACUCGAUGUUCAUUAAAAAGCUAGCAAACUUUGGCUCAAAGAAAAUGUUGCAUUUAUAGCUAGUCAGUGAAUCUCCUCUGGCCUCAAUUUCCCCAGUUCCACAACACAUUUCUCUCCUUGGGGUGCUGCAAGCGGUUAAUUAAUUAAGAUUUGUAAAAGGCUUUGAGGAGUAGGGGACAAAGUAUUAUUAGGGUCUC
This 1240-nucleotide long non-coding RNA is filed under the name Homo sapiens (human). RNAcentral's name for it is "non-protein coding lnc-ZNF683-6:3". The record is from RNAcentral. Lineage: Eukaryota; Metazoa; Chordata; Mammalia; Primates; Hominidae.